This 465-nucleotide ribosomal RNA is filed under the name uncultured bacterium. RNAcentral's name for it is "partial 16S ribosomal RNA". It matches the Rfam family "Bacterial small subunit ribosomal RNA", at positions 28 to 507 of the family's 1533-position model. The record is from RNAcentral.
GACGAACGCUGGCGGCGUGCUUAACACAUGCAAGUCGUACGGUAAGGCCCUUUCGGGGGUACACGAGUGGCGAACGGGUGAGUAACACGUGAGUAACCUGCCCACAACUUUGGGAUAACGCUAGGAAACUGGUGCUAAUACUGGAUAUGUGCUCCUGCUGCAUGGUGGGGGUUGGAAAGCUCCGGCGGUUGUGGAUGGACUCGCGGCCUAUCAGCUUGUUGGUGGGGUAGUGGCCUACCAAGGCGGCGACGGGUAGCCGGCCUGAGAGGGUGACCGGCCACAUUGGGACUGAGAUACGGCCAAGACUCCUACGGGAGGAAGCAGUGGGGAAUAUUGCACAAUGGGCGCAAGCCUGAUGCAGCAACGCCGCGUGCGGGAUGACGGCCUUCGGGUUGUAAACCGCUUUCAGCAGGGACGAAGCUUUUUGUGACGGUACCUGCAGAAGAAGCACCGGCUAACUACGUG